UACGUAGGGUGCAAGCGUUGUUCGGAAUUACUGGGCGUAAAGCGCGCGUAGGCGGGUUGGAAAGUCGAUUGUGAAAGCCCUGGGCUUAACCUGGGAACUGCAGUCGAAACUCCCAAUCUUGAGUGCCUGAGAGGAUGGCGGAAUUCCCGGUGUAGUAGUGAAAUACGUAGAUAUCGGGAAGAACACCUGAGGCGAAGGCGGCUAUCUGGCGGUGCACUGACGCUGAGGCGCGAAAGCGUGGGGAGCAAACAGG
RNAcentral lists this ribosomal RNA (253 nucleotides) under uncultured bacterium. RNAcentral's name for it is "partial 16S ribosomal RNA". It matches the Rfam family "Bacterial small subunit ribosomal RNA", at positions 524 to 776 of the family's 1533-position model. The record is from RNAcentral.